RNAcentral lists this ribosomal RNA (801 nucleotides) under uncultured bacterium. RNAcentral's name for it is "bacterial SSU rRNA". It matches the Rfam family "Bacterial small subunit ribosomal RNA", at positions 8 to 796 of the family's 1533-position model. The record is from RNAcentral.
AGAGUUUGAUCCUGGCUCAGAACGAACGCUGGCGGCGUGGAUAAGACAUGCAAGUCGAACGGGUUUAGUUCGGUAGCAAUACUGGAUUGAGCCAGUGGCGAACGGGUGCGUAACACGUGAGUCAUCUGCCUGAAAGUGGGGGAUAGCUCGCCGAAAGGCGAAUUAAUACCGCAUGUGCCCCGAAGCAAUUCGGGGUAAAGCCGGGGUAACCUGGCGCUUUUAGAGGAACUCGCGGCCUAUCAGCUUGUUGGUAAGGUAACGGCUUACCAAGGCUUCGACGGGUAGCUGGUCUGAGAGGACGACCAGCCACACUGGAACUGAGACACGGUCCAGACACCUACGGGUGGCAGCAGUCGAGAAUUUUUCUCAAUGGGGGAAACCCUGAAGGAGCGACGCCGCGUGGAGGAUGAAUGCUUUCGGGUUGUAAACUCCUGUCAUUUGGGAACAAAGCCUUACGUUAACUGCGUGGAGGUUUGAUAGUACCAGAAGAGGAAGAGACGGCUAACUCUGUGCCAGCAGCCGCGGUAAUACAGAGGUCUCAAGCGUUGUUCGGAUUCAUUGGGCGUAAAGGGCGCGUAGGCUGCGGGGCAAGUCGGGUGUGAAAUCUCAGAGCUCAACUCUGAAACUGCACUCGAUACUGCUUUGCUUGAGGACUGGAGAGGAGAUUGGAAUUCACGGUGUAGCAGUGAAAUGCGUAGAUAUCGUGAGGAAGACCAGUGGCGAAGGCGGAUCUCUGGACAGUUCCUGACGCUGAGGCGCGAAGGCCAGGGGAGCAAACGGGAUUAGAUACCCCAGUAGUCC